RNAcentral lists this ribosomal RNA (599 nucleotides) under uncultured bacterium. Its description in RNAcentral is "bacterial SSU rRNA". It matches the Rfam family "Bacterial small subunit ribosomal RNA", at positions 888 to 1498 of the family's 1533-position model. The record is from RNAcentral.
GCAACAAUGAAACUCAAAGGAAUUGACGGGGGCCCGCACAAGCGGAGGAACAUGUGGUUUAAUUCGAUGAUACGCGAGGAACCUUACCCGGGUUUAAAUGCAGGACGAAGUAUUGGGAAACUGAUAUGUCUUCGGACGGACUGCAAGGUGCUGCAUGGCUGUCGUCAGCUCGUGCCGUGAGGUGUCGGGUUAAGUCCCAUAACGAGCGCAACCCCUAUCGUUAGUUGCUAGCAGGUAAUGCUGAGGACUCUGGCGAGACUGCCACCGUAAGGUGUGAGGAAGGUGGGGAUGACGUCAAGUCAGCACGGCCCUUAUAUCCGGGGCUACACACGUGUUACAAUGGUAGAUACAAAGGGCAGCUACACCGCGAGGUGAUGCUAAUCUCGAAAAUCUAUCUCAGUUCGGAUUGGAGUCUGCAACUCGACUCCAUGAAGUUGGAUUCGCUAGUAAUCGUAUAUCAGCAACGAUACGGUGAAUACGUUCCCGGGCCUUGUACACACCGCCCGUCAAGCCAUGGAAGCUGGGGGUACCUGAAGUCUGCAACCGUAAGGAGCGGCCUAAGGUAAAACUGGUAACUGGGGCUAAGUCGUAACAAGGUA